Molecule: ribosomal RNA, 256 nt
Filed under: uncultured bacterium
Lineage: Bacteria
Description: partial 16S ribosomal RNA
Rfam family: Bacterial small subunit ribosomal RNA
Source: RNAcentral
UAAUACGGAGGAUCCGAGCGUUAUCCGGAUUUAUUGGGUUUAAAGGGUGCGUAGGCGGGUUGUCAAGUCAGCGGUGAAAGGUUACGGCUCAACCGUAAGAAGGCCAUUGAAACUGACAAUCUUGAGUGUAGAUGAGGUGGGUGGAAUUCGUGGUGUAGCGGUGAAAUGCAUAGAUAUCACGAGGAACACCGAUUGCGUAGGCAGCCCACUGGGCUACAACUGACGCUGAGGCACGAAGGUGCGGGGAUCAAACAGG